UAGUCAACGAAGUAUUUCUGGGGUUUUUC
Molecule: non-coding RNA, 29 nt
Filed under: Rattus norvegicus (Norway rat)
Lineage: Eukaryota; Metazoa; Chordata; Mammalia; Rodentia; Muridae
Source: RNAcentral